Molecule: transfer RNA, 54 nt
Filed under: Clostridioides difficile
Lineage: Bacteria; Bacillati; Bacillota; Clostridia; Peptostreptococcales; Peptostreptococcaceae
Description: tRNA-Ser
Rfam family: tRNA
About the family: Transfer RNA (tRNA) molecules are approximately 80 nucleotides in length. Their secondary structure includes four short double-helical elements and three loops (D, anti-codon, and T loops).
Source: RNAcentral
AGCACCUGCCUUACAAGCAGGGGGUCACAGGUUCGAGCCCUGUUGGUCCCACCA